This 497-nucleotide ribosomal RNA is filed under the name uncultured bacterium. RNAcentral's name for it is "partial 16S ribosomal RNA". It matches the Rfam family "Bacterial small subunit ribosomal RNA", at positions 28 to 507 of the family's 1533-position model. The record is from RNAcentral.
GAUGAACGCUGGCGGCGUGCUUAAUACAUGCAAGUCGAGCGAACAGACGCGGAUCUUGCUCCUCUGGCGUUAGCGGCGGACGGGUGAGUAACACGUGGAUAACCUACCUAUAAGACUGGGAUAACUUCGGGAAACCGGUGCUAAUACCGGAUAAUUUAUUGAACCGCAUGGUUCAAUAGUGAAAGACGGUUUUGCUGUCACUUAUAGAUGGAUCCGCGCGGCAUUAGCUAGUUGGUAAGGUAACGGCUUACCAAGGCCACGAUGCGUAGCCGACCCGAGAGGGUGAUCGGCGACACUGGAAGUGAGACGCGGUCCAGACUCCUACGGGCGGCAGCAGUAGGGAAUCUUCCGCAAUGGGCGAAAGCCUGACGGAGCAGCGCCGCGUGAGUGAUGAAGGUCUUCGGAUCGUAAAACUCUGUUAUUAGGGAAGAACAAAUGUGUAAGUAACUAUGCACGUCUUGACGGUACCUAAUCAGAAAGCAACGGCUAACUACGUG